This 1502-nucleotide ribosomal RNA is filed under the name metagenome. Its description in RNAcentral is "bacterial SSU rRNA". It matches the Rfam family "Bacterial small subunit ribosomal RNA". The record is from RNAcentral.
AGAGUUUGAUCCUGGCUCAGAUUGAACGCUGGCGGCAUGCCUUACACAUGCAAGUCGAACGGUAACAGGUUAAGCUGACGAGUGGCGAACGGGUGAGUAAUAUAUCGGAACGUGCCCAGUCGUGGGGGAUAACUGCUCGAAAGAGCAGCUAAUACCGCAUACGACCUGAGGGUGAAAGCGGGGGAUCGCAAGACCUCGCGCGACUGGAGCGGCCGAUAUCAGAUUAGGUAGUUGGUGGGGUAAAGGCUCACCAAGCCAACGAUCUGUAGCUGGUCUGAGAGGACGACCAGCCACACUGGGACUGAGACACGGCCCAGACUCCUACGGGAGGCAGCAGUGGGGAAUUUUGGACAAUGGACGAAAGUCUGAUCCAGCCAUGCCGCGUGCGGGAAGAAGGCCUUCGGGUUGUAAACCGCUUUUGUCAGGGAAGAAACGGCUUUUUCUAAUACAGAGAGCUAAUGACGGUACCUGAAGAAUAAGCACCGGCUAACUACGUGCCAGCAGCCGCGGUAAUACGUGGUGCAAGCGUUAAUCGGAAUUACUGGGCGUAAAGCGUGCGCAGGCGGUUAUGCAAGACAGAGGUGAAAUCCCCGGGCUCAACCUGGGAACUGCCUUUGUGACUGCAUAGCUAGAGUACGGUAGAGGGGGAUGGAAUUCCGCGUGUAGCAGUGAAAUGCGUAGAUAUGCGGAGGAACACCGAUGGCGAAGGCAAUCCCCUGGACCUGUACUGACGCUCAUGCACGAAAGCGUGGGGAGCAAACAGGAUUAGAUACCCUGGUAGUCCACGCCCUAAACGAUGUCAACUGGUUGUUGGGAGGGUUUCUUCUCAGUAACGUAGCUAACGCGUGAAGUUGACCGCCUGGGGAGUACGGCCGCAAGGUUGAAACUCAAGGGAAUUGACGGGGACCCGCACAAGCGGUGGAUGAUGUGGUUUAAUUCGAUGCAACGCGAAAAACCUUACCUACCCUUGACAUGUCUAGAAGUUACCAGAGAUGGUUUCGUGCUCGAAAGAGAACUAGAACACAGGUGCUGCAUGGCCGUCGUCAGCUCGUGUCGUGAGAUGUUGGGUUAAGUCCCGCAACGAGCGCAACCCUUGUCAUUAGUUGCUACGUAAGGGCACUCUAAUGAGACUGCCGGUGACAAACCGGAGGAAGGUGGGGAUGACGUCAGGUCAUCAUGGCCCUUAUGGGUAGGGCUACACACGUCAUACAAUGGCCGGGACAGAGGGCAGCCAACCCGCGAGGGGGAGCUAAUCCCAGAAACCCGGUCGUAGUCCGGAUCGCAGUCUGCAACUCGACUGCGUGAAGUCGGAAUCGCUAGUAAUCGCGGAUCAGCUUGCCGCGGUGAAUACGUUCCCGGGUCUUGUACACACCGCCCGUCACACCAUGGGAGCGGGUUCUGCCAGAAGUAGUUAGCCUAACCGCAAGGAGGGCGAUUACCACGGCAGGGUUCGUGACUGGGGUGAAGUCGUAACAAGGUAGCCGUAUCGGGAGGUGCGGCUG